This 497-nucleotide ribosomal RNA is filed under the name uncultured bacterium. RNAcentral's name for it is "partial 16S ribosomal RNA". It matches the Rfam family "Bacterial small subunit ribosomal RNA", at positions 28 to 507 of the family's 1533-position model. The record is from RNAcentral.
GAUGAACGCUGGCGGCGUGCCUAAUACAUGCAAGUCGAGCGAACAGACGAGGAGCUUGCUCCUCUGACGUUAGCGGCGGACGGGUGAGUAACACGUGGAUAACCUACCUAUAAGACUGGGAUAACUUCGGGAAACCGGAGCUAAUACCGGAUAAUAUACUGAACCGCAUGGUUCAUUAGUGAAAGACGGCUUUGCUGUCACUUCUAGAUGGAUCCGCGCUGCAUUAGCUAGUUGGUAAGGUCACGGCUUACCAAGGCGACGAUGCGUAGCCGACCUGUGAGGGUGAUCGGCCACACGGGAGCGUAGACACGGUCCUGACUCCUACGGGAGGCAGCAGUAGGGAAUCGUCCGCAAAGGGCGAAAGCCUGACGGAGCGACGCCGCGUGAGAGAUGAAGGUCUUCGGAUCGUGAAACUCUGUUAUUAGUGAAGAACAAAUUUGUAAGUAACUAUGCACGUCUUGACGGUACCUAGUAAGAAAGCCACGGCUAACUACGUG